RNAcentral lists this ribosomal RNA (919 nucleotides) under Vreelandella titanicae. Its description in RNAcentral is "bacterial SSU rRNA". It matches the Rfam family "Bacterial small subunit ribosomal RNA", at positions 71 to 992 of the family's 1533-position model. Lineage: Bacteria; Pseudomonadati; Pseudomonadota; Gammaproteobacteria; Oceanospirillales; Halomonadaceae. The record is from RNAcentral.
AGGGGUAGCUUGCUACCCGCUGACGAGCGGCGGACGGGUGAGUAAUGCAUAGGAAUCUGCCCGAUAGUGGGGGAUAACCUGGGGAAACCCAGGCUAAUACCGCAUACGUCCUACGGGAGAAAGGGGGCUUCGGCUCCCGCUAUUGGAUGAGCCUAUGUCGGAUUAGCUAGUUGGUAAGGUAAUGGCUUACCAAGGCAACGAUCCGUAGCUGGUCUGAGAGGAUGAUCAGCCACAUCGGGACUGAGACACGGCCCGAACUCCUACGGGAGGCAGCAGUGGGGAAUAUUGGACAAUGGGGGCAACCCUGAUCCAGCCAUGCCGCGUGUGUGAAGAAGGCCCUCGGGUUGUAAAGCACUUUCAGCGAGGAAGAACGCCUAUCGGUUAAUACCCGGUAGGAAAGACAUCACUCGCAGAAGAAGCACCGGCUAACUCCGUGCCAGCAGCCGCGGUAAUACGGAGGGUGCAAGCGUUAAUCGGAAUUACUGGGCGUAAAGCGCGCGUAGGUGGCUUGAUAAGCCGGUUGUGAAAGCCCCGGGCUCAACCUGGGAACGGCAUCCGGAACUGUCAGGCUAGAGUGCAGGAGAGGAAGGUAGAAUUCCCGGUGUAGCGGUGAAAUGCGUAGAGAUCGGGAGGAAUACCAGUGGCGAAGGCGGCCUUCUGGACUGACACUGACACUGAGGUGCGAAAGCGUGGGUAGCAAACAGGAUUAGAUACCCUGGUAGUCCACGCCGUAAACGAUGUCGACCAGCCGUUGGGUGCCUAGAGCACUUUGUGGCGAAGUUAACGCGAUAAGUCGACCGCCUGGGGAGUACGGCCGCAAGGUUAAAACUCAAAUGAAUUGACGGGGGCCCGCACAAGCGGUGGAGCAUGUGGUUUAAUUCGAUGCACGCGAAGACCUUACCUACCCUUGACAUCUACA